This 22-nucleotide microRNA is filed under the name Brassica rapa (field mustard). RNAcentral's name for it is "bra-miR9553-3p". Lineage: Eukaryota; Viridiplantae; Streptophyta; Magnoliopsida; Brassicales; Brassicaceae. The record is from miRBase by way of RNAcentral.
UAAUCAGCUCCAGCUAUGUACA